This 478-nucleotide ribosomal RNA is filed under the name uncultured bacterium. RNAcentral's name for it is "partial 16S ribosomal RNA". It matches the Rfam family "Bacterial small subunit ribosomal RNA", at positions 28 to 523 of the family's 1533-position model. The record is from RNAcentral.
GACGAACGCUGGCGGCGUGCUUAACACAUGCAAGUCGAACGGCAAGGCCCUUCGGGGUACACGAGUGGCGAACGGGUGAGUAACACGUGGGUGAACUGCCCUGCACUUCGGGAUAAGCCUGGGAAACUGGGUCUAAUACCGGAUAGGACCCUGGGAUGCAUGUCCUGGGGUGGAAAGCUUUUGCGGUGUGGGAUGGGCCCGCGGCCUAUCAGCUUGUUGGUGGGGUGAUGGCCUACCAAGGCGACGACGGGUAGCCGGCCUGAGAGGGUGACCGGCCACACUGGGACUGAGAUACGGCCCAGACUCCUACGGGAGGCAGCAGUGGGGAAUAUUGCACAAUGGGCGCAAGCCUGAUGCAGCGACGCCGCGUGAGGGAUGACGGCCUUCGGGUUGUAAACCUCUUUCAGCACCGACGAAGCGCAAGUGACGGUAGGUGCAGAAGAAGGACCGGCCAACUACGUGCCAGCAGCCGCCGCGG